UGGGGAAUAUUGCACAAUGGACGGAAGUCUGAUGCAGCGACGCCGCGUGGGGGAUGAAGGCUUUCUGGUUGUAAACUCCUUUCAGUACAGAAGAAGCUUUAUUGUGACGGUAUGUGCAGAAGAAGCGCCGGCUAACUACGUGCCAGCAGCCGCGGUAAUACGUAGGGCGCGAGCGUUGUCCGGAAUUAUUGGGCGUAAAGAGCUCGUAGGCGGUUUGUCGCGUCUGCUGUGAAAGACCGGGGCUUAACUCCGGGGCUGCAGUGGGUACGGGCAGGCUGGAGUGCGGUAGGGGUAACCGGAAUUCCUGGUGUAGCGGUGGAAUGCGCAGAUAUCAGGAGGAACACCGAUGGCGAAGGCAGGUUACUGGGCCGUUACUGACGCUGAGGAGCGAAAGCAUGGGGAGCGAACAGG
This 411-nucleotide ribosomal RNA is filed under the name Verrucomicrobiota bacterium. Its description in RNAcentral is "Verrucomicrobia bacterium partial 16S ribosomal RNA". It matches the Rfam family "Bacterial small subunit ribosomal RNA", at positions 355 to 776 of the family's 1533-position model. Lineage: Bacteria; Pseudomonadati; Verrucomicrobiota. The record is from RNAcentral.